UACGGAGGGUGCAAGCGUUGUUCGGAAUCACUGGGCGUAAAGGGCGUGUAGGCGGUCCGCUAAGUCUGAUGUGAAAGCCCGGGGCUCACCCCCGGAAGGGCAUUGGAAACUGGCGGACUCGAGUCCCGGAGAGGAAGGUGGAAUUCCUGGUGUAGCGGUGAAAUGCGUAGAUAUCAUGAGGAAUACCAGAGGCGAAGGCGGCUACCUGGACAAUUGCUGACGCUCAGGCACGAAAGCGUGGGGAGCAAAAGGG
This 253-nucleotide ribosomal RNA is filed under the name uncultured bacterium. RNAcentral's name for it is "partial 16S ribosomal RNA". It matches the Rfam family "Bacterial small subunit ribosomal RNA", at positions 524 to 776 of the family's 1533-position model. The record is from RNAcentral.